CCCGGGGCAACGAGGCCAGCGCUGGGCUCUCAGCCUGCCCCCCGCCCCCCCCCCAGCCACAGACACAGCCACACGCUGGGUAGCCCUGACGACCUGGGUGACGCCCAGGGAGCAGUGUGGACGCGUGGGGCGCCCCUUCGGCGCCGAGCGUCCGCUGCCCCCGGGGCCAGAGGUGGAGCCACCGUCUCUGAGCUGCAGACACGGCUCCAGGAGGAUGUGUGAUGUGCUCACUGGCACCGGCACGCACAAGGGUACCGGGACUUUCGCCUCCGUGUCAGUGAGAGCCACAGACGGUUUCCGGAGCUCGAAUAUUCACUGGCGGCUCCUCGGCGCCUGUGCAGUUGUGCGAACAUUUCCGAGAUGAGGGAAUUCGGCUCGUUUGCGUAGGGCCGCGCUCGAGGGUAGCUGAGCACCUGGCGGCCCGGCCCGCCGCGGCUCCUCGCGCCCAGGGCAGCCAGACCGCAGCCUGCUGCCCGGCCCCCCGGACCCCGCCCCCGGCGCUGGCUCUGGCUGGGGCGGCUCGCAAACCAGUGACGCCAGCAUGAGGCAGGCCGGAGGGCAGUGCGGGAAGGAGAACGUGUUCCUUCAGUCAUUCACUCACUUAUUCAGCAUCUGAAUCUGUAUCUGUUGACUCCCUACCUCGGGCCGGCACCGUGUCCUCACUGGAAGCACAGCCGUGAAGGGACCGACCAAACCCCAGCCCUCCUGGAGGUUAUAUUCCAGGCGUGAGAGCGACGUUUAUUUCAUACAACACGCGGUGUCGGCUGGUGACUGGAGCUCCGGGGCAGAACGAAGAGUCCGGGAGUGCGGAGGAGGAGGAGGCAGCCCUCCCCGCUCAGACAGCUCCUCACACAGCACUGCACGUCUCGGCCACCAGCAGACUCGGGACGAGCCAGGGCCUCAGUGUCCUCAGUGCCCAGACAGCGAGAGUGCCCCAGGCAGAGGGAACAGCUCGUGCAAAGGCCCUGAGGCAGAGAGACGGGUGUCUCAGGGACACAAGUGGCCAGUUUGGUGGGAGGCGUGGAGGAGGAGGAUGUCAGGAGGUGGGAGAGGAGGCGUGUCCUGACUCACUGGUCUCAGGCAGGAGUUUGGACUGGAUCCUCAGUGGGUCUGAGGAGUCUCUCCAAGGCGAGUGGUGCAGCGCCCGCUGA
Molecule: long non-coding RNA, 1151 nt
Filed under: Canis lupus familiaris (dog)
Lineage: Eukaryota; Metazoa; Chordata; Mammalia; Carnivora; Canidae
Description: lncRNA (ENSCAFG00845029152.1)
Source: RNAcentral